This 509-nucleotide long non-coding RNA is filed under the name Mytilus galloprovincialis (Mediterranean mussel). Lineage: Eukaryota; Metazoa; Mollusca; Bivalvia; Mytilida; Mytilidae. The record is from RNAcentral.
CAAUUACAAAAGAAGAGUACAAACAUGCACAAAGAGUCUGGGAACAUUAUAAUUGUAAAACUUUAUUAGACUAUCAUAAUUUAUAUCUCAAAACAGAUGUUCUUAUCUUAGCCGAUGCAUUCGAAAAAUUUAGAAAAUUCUUUAUAAAAUAUCAUGAAAUAGACCCAUGUUAUUGUUAUUCUGCUCCAGGUUUAACAUGGCAAUGUGGAUUAAAAUAUACAGGAAUAAAAUUAGAAUUGUUGACUGAUGUUGAUAUGUUACAAAUGUUUGAGAAAGGAAUAAGAGGAGGAUUUUCUGGAGUAUUAGGUCCUAGACAUGUAAAAGCUUACAAUAAAUAUACUUCAAAUUAUGAUAAAGAUUAUAGAAUAAUAGAUGAACAUGAAAAAAAAAGAAUGUUUAAAAAGAUUAAAAAAAGGAAAAAACUUAAAUAAAUUUUUUGAAGAAAAAUUUUUGUUAUAUCUAGAUGCAAAUAAUUUAUAUGGUUGGGCAAUGUCACAAAAACUUCCUAC